AUUGAACGCUGGCGGCAGGCCUAACACAUGCAAGUCGAGCGGAUGAAGGGAGCUUGCUCCUGGAUUCAGCGGCGGACGGGUGAGUAAUGCCUAGGAAUCUGCCUGGUAGUGGGGGAUAACGUCCGGAAACGGGCGCUAAUACCGCAUACGUCCUGAGGGAGAAAGUGGGGGAUCUUCGGACCUCACGCUAUCAGAUGAGCCUAGGUCGGAUUAGCUAGUUGGUGGGGUAAAGGCCUACCAAGGCGACGAUCCGUAACUGGUCUGAGAGGAUGAUCAGUCACACUGGAACUGAGACACGGUCCAGACUCCUACGGGAGGCAGCAGUGGGGAAUAUUGGACAAUGGGCGAAAGCCUGAUCCAGCCAUGCCGCGUGUGUGAAGAAGGUCUUCGGAUUGUAAAGCACUUUAAGUUGGGGGGAAGGGCAGUAAGUUAAUACCUUGCUGUUUUGACGUUACCAACAGAAUAGGCACCGGCUAACUUCGUG
Molecule: ribosomal RNA, 484 nt
Filed under: uncultured bacterium
Lineage: Bacteria
Description: partial 16S ribosomal RNA
Rfam family: Bacterial small subunit ribosomal RNA
Source: RNAcentral